AGAGUUUGAUCCUGGCUCAGGAUGAACGCUAGCGGCAGGCUUAAUACAUGCAAGUCGUGGGGCAGCAGGGGUAGCAAUACCCGCUGGCGACCGGCAAACGGGUGAGGAACAUGUACGCAACCUACCUUUAACUGGAGGAUAGCCCCUCGAAAGAGGGAUUAAUACUCCGUAACAUAAUGAAGUGGCAUCGCUUUGUUAUUAUAGCUCCGGCGGUUAAAGAUGGGCGUGCAGCUGAUUAGGCAGUUGGCGGGGUAACGGCCCACCAAACCUACGAUCAGUAACUGGUGUGAGAGCACGACCAGUCACACGGGCACUGAGACACGGGCCCGACUCCUACGGGAGGCAGCAGUAAGGAAUAUUGGUCAAUGGAGGCAACUCUGAACCAGCCAUGCCGCGUGAAGGAUUAAGGCCCUCUGGGUUGUAAACUUCUUUUAUAUGGGAAGAAAUGUUCUGAUUCUUCAGAGCUUGACGGUACCAUAGGAAUAAGCACCGGCUAACUCCGUGCCAGCAGCCGCGGUAAUACGGAGGGUGCAAGCGUUAUCCGGAUUCACUGGGUUUAAAGGGUGCGUAGGUGGGCAGAUAAGUCAGUGGUGAAAUCUUCCGGCUUAACCGGAAAAUUGCCGUUGAUACUAUUUGUCUUGAAUAUUGUGGAGGUAAGCGGAAUAUGUCAUGUAGCGGUGAAAUGCUUAGAUAUGACAUAGAACACCAA
RNAcentral lists this ribosomal RNA (709 nucleotides) under uncultured bacterium. RNAcentral describes it as "bacterial SSU rRNA". It matches the Rfam family "Bacterial small subunit ribosomal RNA", at positions 8 to 712 of the family's 1533-position model. The record is from RNAcentral.